This 360-nucleotide ribosomal RNA is filed under the name Ruspolia nitidula. RNAcentral describes it as "partial 12S ribosomal RNA". Lineage: Eukaryota; Metazoa; Arthropoda; Insecta; Orthoptera; Tettigoniidae. The record is from RNAcentral.
AGUAAGAGUUAAGUUCUUGAAACUCAAAGAAUUUGGCGGUGUUUUAGUCUUUUCAGAGGAAUCUGUCCUAUAAUGGAUAAUACACAUUAAAUUUAACUUGAUUUUGUAAUAGCCAGUUUGUAUACCGCCGUCAUAAGAUUAUCUUUUUAGAGAAAGAAUUUUCUGGAUUUCUGGAAGAAAAAAUUCAUGAAUAAUGAAUGGAGGAUUGUAUGUCAGGUCAAGGUGCAGCUCAUAAUUAAGUAAGAGAUGGAUUACAAUAAAUUAAUUUAUAUGGAUAGUAUGUUGAAAUACGUAUUUGAAGGUGGAUUUGAAAGUAAUAUGGUUAUAUUAUGAUAAUAUGAUUAUAGCCCUAAAACAUGU